RNAcentral lists this ribosomal RNA (494 nucleotides) under uncultured bacterium. RNAcentral describes it as "partial 16S ribosomal RNA". It matches the Rfam family "Bacterial small subunit ribosomal RNA", at positions 28 to 507 of the family's 1533-position model. The record is from RNAcentral.
GACGAACGCUGGCGGCGUGCUUAACACAUGCAAGUCGAACGGAAAGGCCUGCUUUCCCUUGUGGAUUGCGGGUACUCGAGUGGCGAACGGGUGAGUAACACGUGAGUGAUCUGCCCCCAACUUGGGUAUAAGCCUGGGAAACUGGGUCUAAUUCCCGAUAGGACUGCAGGGUGUUGCCGGUGGUGGAAAACGAUUUUCUAGUGGUUGGGGAUGAGCUCGCGGCCUAUCAGCUUGUUGGUGGGGUAAUGGCCUACAAAGGCGGGGACGGGUAGCCGGCCGGGGAGGGUGGACGGCCACAUUGGGACUGAGAUACGGCCCAGACGCCUACGGGAGGCAGCAGUGGGGAAUAUUGCACAAUGGGCGGAAGCCUGAUGCAGCGACGCCGCGUGGGGGAUGACGGCCUUCGGGUUGUAAACUCCUUUCGACCGCGAGGAAGCCACCUGGUUGGAAGGGUGGUGACGGUAGUGGUAGAAGAAGCACCGGCUAACUACGUG